This 460-nucleotide ribosomal RNA is filed under the name uncultured bacterium. Its description in RNAcentral is "partial 16S ribosomal RNA". It matches the Rfam family "Bacterial small subunit ribosomal RNA", at positions 338 to 795 of the family's 1533-position model. The record is from RNAcentral.
CCUACGGGAGGCAGCAGUGAGGAAUAUUGGUCAAUGGACGAGAGUCUGAACCAGCCAAGUAGCGUGAAGGAUGACUGCCCUAUGGGUUGUAAACUUCUUUUAUAUGGGAAUAAAACGUUCCACGUGUGGGAUUUUGUAUGUACCAUAUGAAUAAGGAUCGGCUAACUCCGUGCCAGCAGCCGCGGUAAUACGGAGGAUCCGAGCGUUAUCCGGAUUUAUUGGGGUUAAAGGGAGCGUAGGUGGAUUGUUAAGUCAGUUGUGAAAGUUUGCGGCUCAACCGUAAAAUUGCAGUUGAAACUGGCAGUCUUGAGUACAGUAGAGGUGGGCGGAAUUCGUGGUGUAGCGGUGAAAUGCUUAGAUAUCACGAAGAACUCCGAGUGCGAAGGCAGUUCACUGGACUGCAACUGACACUGAGGCUCGAAAGUGUGGGUAUCAAACAGGAUUAGAUACCCUUGUAGUC